This 399-nucleotide ribosomal RNA is filed under the name bacterium enrichment culture clone ALO1_GLFRUDD03FMPLM. RNAcentral describes it as "bacterial SSU rRNA". It matches the Rfam family "Bacterial small subunit ribosomal RNA", at positions 9 to 407 of the family's 1533-position model. The record is from RNAcentral.
GAGUUUGAUCAUGGCUCAGAUUGAACGCUGGCGGCAUGCCUUACACAUGCAAGUCGAACGGCAGCACGGGAGCUUGCUCCUGGUGGCGAGCGGCGAACGGGUGAGUAAUGCAUCGGAACGUAUCCUGGAGUGGGGGAUAACGUAGCGAAAGUUACGCUAAUACCGCAUAUUCUGUGAGCAGGAAAGCGGGGGACCUUCGGGCCUCGCGCUCUUGGAGCGGCCGAUGUCGGAUUAGCUAGUUGGUGAGGUAAAGGCUCACCAAGGCGACGAUCCGUAGCAGGUCUGAGAGGAUGAUCUGCCACACUGGAACCGAGACACGGUCCAGACUCCUACGGGAGGCAGCAGUGGGAAUUUUGGACAAUGGGGGCAACCCUGAUCCAGGCCCAUGCCGCGUGAGUG